UACGUAGGAGGCGAGCGUUGUCCGGAUUCAUUGGGCGUAAAGAGCACGCAGGCGGUUUGGCAAGUCGGAUGUGAAAGCCCGGAGCUCAACUCCGGACCUGCAUCCGAAACUGCCCGACUAGAGGUAGGUAGGGGAGAUCGGAAUUCCUGGUGUAGCGGUGAAAUGCGCAGAUAUCAGGAGGAACACCGGUGGCGAAGGCGGAUCUCUGGGCCAUUACUGACGCUGAGGAGCGAAAGCGUGGGGAGCGAACAGG
RNAcentral lists this ribosomal RNA (253 nucleotides) under uncultured bacterium. RNAcentral describes it as "partial 16S ribosomal RNA". It matches the Rfam family "Bacterial small subunit ribosomal RNA", at positions 524 to 776 of the family's 1533-position model. The record is from RNAcentral.